GCCCUUUCUGAGUGCCAGGCUUUUCCUGAAAGUUUUGCCAGAGACUGUGGACCUGGGUCAGAGGUGAGAGCAGCUUGAAGCACAUUGUGACCAUAAGCGACCAUGGUGGUGGGAGUGGCAGGAAAGUGGUGACCUGAGCUGCCUACGUACUAGUUGUAUGAAGUUACAAAUGUUUCUUCCCCUCUCUGAACCUCUGAGCCCAACCAGGAACUGAGGAUGCUAUCUUCCCUACCUGAAGCACGAAGCCCUUUAACUUUAAAAUGUAUGAUGAUCCUGGAACCCAAGGUCCAGCACUGAUGAGCCUCACCUUGCUAGAUGGCUUCCCUUUGUGGAGAAAAGUGUGUGUGUGUGUGUGUGUGUGUGUGUGUGUGUGUGUGUGUGUGUGGUUAAGUCAAAACCAGUUGAAUAUUGGCAGUUUCCUAUGGUUCAACCUACAAGGCCACCUGCCUCUCUCCUUGACUUCAGGCAUGAGGAUGACUUCUUGUCAAGCUGCAUUUAUUCCUAGGAACACAUUCCCAAUGCUCUCUUCUUUCAGACAAACCAUCGCUUUCUUAGAUUAGGAAUCCUAAUUAGUGAAAAUCCACAUUAGAAAGGAAAACCCACUGCUGCUUCUGGGAGUCCUCAGGCCCUAGCACCUUCCUGGCUUCACCUGGACAUUCGCCAUCUCAAGCACUGGCGUUUGAAGGCAGGAUGCAGAGACUGGAGUCCUGGCUAAGUAACAGGAUUCAGGUGCCUAAUUAACCUGACCCAGCUCUGGGCUCCUUCCUGGUUGGCUGUGCAGGCCAGGUGAGCCUCUCCUCAACUCCUUAGACUGUUAACUAUUUUCCAUUUAUCCUGAUGAGAUACUAACAGCAGCCCCCUCCUUUGUUCGUUUCUGGUCUUGGGCCCUGGAAGCACCCUGGCCUCCCUAGGCUGCUCAGGGAGCCCUAGCAUUCGUUGUUCUGAAGGUUUCCUUACUUUGGAGCCAGGAGGACUGGUCAUCCUGAUUCUUACUGCCUGUGGCUCCCCAUGCAACCCCUGCCUGUAGCCUUGCCCUGGGUCUUUAGCUCACCACUGCAGCUGGGGUAGAGAAGAGCCAUUGUAUUGAGUUGCAUGCCCUUGGCACCCAUUUGGAGCAAAGAAGGGAGGUGAUGAACUCGUCAACUUUCUCUAGUUUUCCUCACUGUCCAUCCUAAACACACACACAGACGCGCACGCCCACUCGCUCACACACUCACAUGCUUGCACACAGAUUUAAACUAUCUUCUGGAGGUUUAAGGAAAAAGGUUUUACUUGGUUUGCAGAAAUGCUUUCUUUGGGAUUUUUUCUCCUUGUUAGAGCCUUUGAGUCCAGGUAAAGUGAAAGUUCACAUAUGUGUUCGUUUUUGUUCUCUGUAAUGAGCUACUGGUCUUUAUCCCUAGGCCUUCCCUGCCCCAGUGUCUUGUCCAUAUGUCCUGACCCUGUGUCCUUGAAUUCCCAUUUUGCUUUGGGAUUUAAGUUAUUGUAAUUUGUCAACAAUAUUUAAAAAUAGAAAAGUCCUGAAGAAAACUUACCAGGUUCUUUUCUUUGGCUUUUUUUUUUCAAGGUACUGUAAAUUGUUAACUAGGGAUGCCAAGCAGGCUUGGUUCAAUGGCUAAACCUCUUACCGUAUUACAGUGUAAUGCUGAUUCAGCCUGGUCCCACCACCAGAGCACAC
RNAcentral lists this long non-coding RNA (1675 nucleotides) under Canis lupus familiaris (dog). RNAcentral's name for it is "lncRNA (ENSCAFG00000058046.1)". Lineage: Eukaryota; Metazoa; Chordata; Mammalia; Carnivora; Canidae. The record is from RNAcentral.